GCCUGGCCACUGGCGCGCGGGGCGCAGGGCCUCCCCAGCCAGGCCGCCUCGCCUCCGGCGCGGGGCCUCCAGCCGACCCGCCUGGCCACCGGCGUGCGGCGCGCGGGGAGGCACCUGAAGGUGCAGCUUGGGAAGCUGCAUGGGCAGCAGAAAAUGGAGGCCUUGGAUGCUAGUUAGAAAGCUACGAUCGCUAAAGCGAGAGCGGAAAUGGCUUUCCUUCAACAGAUUUAUGAUGGCUCUGAUUUGUGCGUGGGGUUUAUCUUCACGUCUUGGAUCCUUCGAAUCCGCUCUAAGUCUUAAUCUAGCUAGUACUGUAUCGUAUCCAUGGUCCAUCUAGGCAUCGUCGAUCAGGAUGGUUGUUAUUUGUUAGAAGCGUGCGCUUUAGAACAGAUGAUCCUGUCACCCUAUGGUUUGUUCUGCAAACUAGACAUGUCUCAAAAAAUUCCAUGUGUUUUUGUGGCGGAUGCACCGAAAAAUUCCAUGUGUUGUUCGAUA
This is a long non-coding RNA of Setaria italica (foxtail millet), 495 nucleotides long. RefSeq lists it as uncharacterized. The record is from RefSeq and is a predicted model, not a curated record. The transcript is spliced from 2 exons. Lineage: Eukaryota; Viridiplantae; Streptophyta; Magnoliopsida; Poales; Poaceae.